RNAcentral lists this long non-coding RNA (449 nucleotides) under Setaria viridis. Its description in RNAcentral is "long non-coding RNA (SVIR_LNC003839)". The record is from RNAcentral. Lineage: Eukaryota; Viridiplantae; Streptophyta; Magnoliopsida; Poales; Poaceae.
GAGCGAGUAGUGAAGGUGAGGCCUUGUUUAGUUGCCCAAUUUUGGGGUGUCCAAAUUACUGUAGCAACAAUGUAGCUUUUCGUUUGUAUUUGUGAAUUAUUGUCCAAAUAUUGACUAAUUAGGCUCAAAAGAUUCGUCUCGCAAAGUACAACAAAACUGUGCAAUUAGUUUUUGAUUUCAUCUACAUUCAGUACUCCAUGCAUGUACCGCAAGUUUGAUGUGAUGGAGAAUGUUCUUUUUGUAUAGUGUCAAAGUUAGGAUUUGGGAGUGAACUAAACAAGGCCUGAGCCUCUGGCGUCUCGCUUAGGAUUUCCCCAAACUGGCCAUGCUCUCAGGUUUUUUUAAGAACUGCAAUAGCUAGCCCACGUCCUUGAUGUGGUCGGUUUCAAUGGGAGAGGAAAAGUGUAUUCUACAUGUUCACUGUAACGAGAGAUGAACUCCACUUGCCG